AAUUCUCAACUCUUCAAAUUGUUGUAAUGACGACUUGAAGACGUUGGAUGUGGAGGUUUUUGCUGGCCUUUUAUUAAGUCAGCUCCUCUUAAAUGCAUUAGUGGUUACUGUUCUUUUCCACUUUGGUGUGAUAGUCUAUCUACGCCUAUAAGUGAAAGAUGUUAAGUGUAGCUGCUUUCAAACCGUCUGGACUUUACUGGACAAUUUGAACU
Molecule: unclassified non-coding RNA, 212 nt
Filed under: uncultured Hemimycena
Lineage: Eukaryota; Fungi; Basidiomycota; Agaricomycetes; Agaricales; Tricholomataceae
Description: sequence contains ITS2
Source: RNAcentral